CUAGUCCAUCUUGGCUGUUCUAAGAAGUUAAGCUGAACUAGCCUUGGUACUAUUUGAAUGAGAGACCACCUGCAAAUCUUGGUGUUGACUAGA
Molecule: ribosomal RNA, 93 nt
Filed under: Notechis scutatus (mainland tiger snake)
Lineage: Eukaryota; Metazoa; Chordata; Lepidosauria; Squamata; Elapidae
Source: RNAcentral